GAUGAACGCUGGCGGCGUGCCUAAUACAUGCAAGUCGAGCGAACAGACGAGGAGCUUGCUCCUCUGACGUUAGCGGCGGACGGGUGAGUAACACGUGGAUAACCUACCUAUAAGACUGGGAUAACUUCGGGAAACCGGAGCUAAUACCGGAUAAUAUAUUGAACCGCAGGGUUCAAUAGUGAAUGACGGUUUUGCUGUCACUUUUAGAUGGAUCCGCGCCGCAUUAGCUAGUUGGUAAGGUAACGGCUUACCAAGGCAACGAUGCGUAGCCGACCUGAGAGGGUGAUCGGCCACACUGGAACUGAGACACGGUCCAGACUCCUACGGGAGGCAGCAGUAGGGAAUCUUCCGCAAUGGGCGAAAGCCUGACGGAGCAACGCCGCGUGAGUGAUGAAGGUCUUCGGAUCGUAAAACUCUGUUAUUAGGGAAGAACAAAUGUGUAAGUAACUAUGCACGUCUUGACGGUACCUAAUCAGAAAGCCACGGCUAACUACGUG
Molecule: ribosomal RNA, 497 nt
Filed under: uncultured bacterium
Lineage: Bacteria
Description: partial 16S ribosomal RNA
Rfam family: Bacterial small subunit ribosomal RNA
Source: RNAcentral